This 107-nucleotide small nucleolar RNA is filed under the name Sorghum bicolor (sorghum). Its description in RNAcentral is "Plant small nucleolar RNA R71". It matches the Rfam family "Plant small nucleolar RNA R71". From Rfam's summary of the family: R71 is a member of the C/D box family of snoRNAs containing the C (UGAUGA) and D (CUGA) box motifs. Multiple nearly identical copies of this snoRNA have been identified in Arabidopsis, and it is thought to function as a 2'-O-ribose methylation guide for 18S ribosomal RNA. Lineage: Eukaryota; Viridiplantae; Streptophyta; Magnoliopsida; Poales; Poaceae. The record is from Rfam by way of RNAcentral.
AUCCCAUGGUGAAGGCAUUCUGAUAUGUAAUGUUGAAAAUGUUCCCAAGCCUCCAGGACAGAUUCAUCGUACUGUUGCUAGAAAGUUGAGAUCUUAGCACGUAGGGC